UUUCGAUCGUCUCUUGAGAGUUCAGUAUGUCUUGGUUGAAAUCCGUCAUGGGGACGCAAUAUUUGGUUGCAAUUCGUUCUCGAAGUAUACUAUACAGGAAGUUAAAAAAAUUUGUAGAUUGAAAGUCGAGAUCUAUUGUCUGACGAUGGGAACGGUGAUCAAAACUUGAAAAGAACAGCAAGAGUGAAUAUAAAGCACCAGCAUAUACCAGAUUCAUAACGCCCAAAAGGAGCAAGGAGGAGAGAUGAAGAAAUCUGAAAUUCUAAACUAGAGUUAAGAAUAAGAUGCAGAAGACAGGUAUCUGGAUUUAUGUAUAUAUUGAUAUCUAGUACAUGAACAUUUUUAUAGGUUUUAUUAUAUGACUAUUUAAGGAAAUCAAAUCAUAUAUGUAUAAUCAAAAGCGACAUAGAAAAAUGAGGAAAUAUAUUUCUAACAUCCCGGUGCAUAGAAGAUGUCGACUUGAGUUUGAGUACAGGUCUGAAUAGUCUUCAGUGGCUGAGACGCGGCGAAUGAGGCAACUAAGAUGUGGUGUUUGCGGGCGGCAGUCUAAUGGUGGUGCUAGCUUCUCCAAAGGGCGCAACCUUUCACGUCUUUUUCUAGUGUGCUGAACACUUAAGGUAGUAACACAUGUUUUCUCUCUUGCAUUUCUUUCCCUCCUCCUCCUACGAGCUUUAUUGUGGUAUGUUUGUUUACACUUAAGUGGAAAGUGAAAAAUAUUGUUGUUUUUUUCAUCAAAAUCUAAAACAUUAUUCGAGUUCUAGAAUUAUGGGUAUAUAAGAUUUUACAUGCCAACAUGUACAUAUUGUAAAAUUUUUAGGAGUUUCAAAUGUAAAAAAAGGCCAUAAUACGUGAAUUACGAGAUUUUAACUAAAGGAAAAGCAAAAAAAAAAAUAAAGGUUGAUCCAGCUAAAUAGCUAUCAGAAAAGAAUUCGGCCCCAAAUAAUCUUGACCGGCCUUAAUCAAGAUUUUACAAACCUAGUUCAGCACUUUUACACAAAUGGACCAUAAUUAUACGAAUAUAUACAAUACUAAAACCAAAAUGGGCAUCAUCCAGAUUUACAAUCAUAUUUCAACAUGUACUGUACUGUACCCUUGGUAGUUGGCUUAGUUUUAACCACGCAUAGAGCUACAUUUCAACGAACGUCAUUGCUAUCUUUUUUUUCUUUUUUUGGCUGCCCGCCAUGUAUACAUAUACCUAAAAAUUUGAAUGUGACAAUGUUUCAGAACUAUGAACACAUGUUUUGAUGUGGAUCCCUGCACUUUGAAUCCCCUUUUUUUUCCAAUUAGGUCAAUGAACUCUAAAUUCACUUUUUAUUGGGUCGCUCUGAUCUUUUCACGGAUAACUAGAAUCUAGGAACUGUUCAUCCGACCUUCACCUCACCUCAACUUAAUGUAAGACUCCACAAGAGGUCAGCUAACUUUAGGAUGCAUCAUCUGGUCGACCCUUCAGCUGAGGGACUUCAUCGACCAAGAAAUCAAAAUUUACCGGCUUAAUGUUUAAAACAGAAACGUUCAGAGGCUUGAUAGAGAUUGGCAAAAUUCCUACGUCUUAUAAACACUUUGCGUCAAGUUUCAGUAUCAUUGUCUUAUCUAAAUCUUCCUUUGUGGUUUUUUCUUUAUGUUCUCUUCCUGCAAAUAUGGAGGAUACACUAACGAGGUAUUUUCUCCACUCCAAUAGCUCUGAGAAACCAGUCGAACCAUGUUUUGCACUCCAGAACGAGGAGCAAUCUUGAAAAUGUUGCACAAGGAAGUAAAUGAUAAGGCUCACAACUGAGGCAGAUGAGGGAAGAGGAUCUGGAGGGGUUGGGCGUGGAGGAAUUGGGACAAUUAGAGAACAAACUCGGGGCGGGACUGAGCCUCGUGCUCAAGA
Molecule: long non-coding RNA, 1870 nt
Organism: Eucalyptus grandis
Lineage: Eukaryota; Viridiplantae; Streptophyta; Magnoliopsida; Myrtales; Myrtaceae
Exons: 3
Source: RefSeq, a predicted model, not a curated record